ACAAAUAUAAUUUUCAAUUUUUGAUUUCAUCAGUAUCUUGUGUAGUCAAAGUUCGUGGUGGAUGUUGCUUCGUAGUCAAGCCUGUCGUCCCGGAACGCUGCUCCAAGAUAGGUGGUACUUCUCCCCUCAUUCACGUCUUAUUUUGAUUCCGAGUACUAUGUGAAGAGCAUUCUGUUUGUUUCUCUGGCUUCAUCCUUGUUUUCUUCUUUAUUUUGACUUG
RNAcentral lists this unclassified non-coding RNA (220 nucleotides) under Hevea brasiliensis (rubber tree). Lineage: Eukaryota; Viridiplantae; Streptophyta; Magnoliopsida; Malpighiales; Euphorbiaceae. The record is from RNAcentral.